This 117-nucleotide non-coding RNA is filed under the name Nomascus leucogenys (northern white-cheeked gibbon). Lineage: Eukaryota; Metazoa; Chordata; Mammalia; Primates; Hylobatidae. The record is from Rfam by way of RNAcentral.
GCUGGGCAUGGUGGUGCACGCCUGUAAUCCCAGCUACUCGGGAGGCUGAGGUGGGAGGAUCACUUGAGGUCAGGAGUUCGAAACCAGCCUGGCCAACAUGGUGAAACCCCGUCUCUA